CGAGUCUUUGAACGCAACUUGCACUCUAGGUUCUCCUAGAGUAUGCCUAUUUGAGUAUCGGUACACACACCACUCAAACCCCCCCAGAGAACGGGGGUUUGGAUCUGAUGAAUCGUAUGCGCGCAUGCGCAUCGAUUUCAAGUGUACACACACUGAAUCUGGCGGCCUCCGGUGGUGUGCUGCUGACGUGAUACGCGAGCAUUGGCUCUCUUCUCGUCAGACACCACAUUCCACGUGCCAGUCACAAAGGAAGGGGGGGGUCCAGUAGCGCAGUGUCACACACACACACCUAGAAUCUCGAUCUCAAAUUAGGUAGGAUUACCCGCUGAAUUUAAGCAUAUCAAUAAGCGGAGGAAAAGAAACUAACAAGGAUUCCCCUAGUAACGGCGAGUGAAGCGGGAACAGCUCAAAUUUGAAAUCUGGCCUGGCACGUGCGCUGGGUCCGAAUUGUAGUUUAUGGUCCGUGUAUCGGUGCCAGCGGCUGGUAUAAUUUGUCUGGAAUGGCAAGUCAUAGAGGGUGAUAGUCCCGUCCAUGACCAGCGGCGUGCGUGCCACACGUUACACCGGACUUGGAGUCGAGUUGUUUGGGAAUGCAGCUCAAAAUGGGAGGUAGAUUUCUUCUAAAGCUAAAUAACGGCGAGAGACCGAUAGCGAACAAGUACCGUGAGGGAAAGAUGAAAAGAACUCUGAAGAGAGAGUGAAACAGUACGUGAGAUUGUUGAGAGGGAAACGCUUGAAACCGCUAUGGCGCAAGCCUGCCAACAUCAGUUUGGCGCGACGGUACACAAGGCCGUGGGAAAUGUAGGGGGCAUCAGCGCCUGUUAUAGUCCCACGCGCGCAUGCACCGCGCCAGACUGAG
This 859-nucleotide ribosomal RNA is filed under the name uncultured fungus. RNAcentral describes it as "eukaryotic LSU rRNA". The stretch from base 299 to 859 matches the Rfam family "Eukaryotic large subunit ribosomal RNA", at positions 1 to 555 of the family's 3401-position model. Lineage: Eukaryota; Fungi. The record is from RNAcentral.